This 448-nucleotide ribosomal RNA is filed under the name uncultured bacterium. Its description in RNAcentral is "bacterial SSU rRNA". It matches the Rfam family "Bacterial small subunit ribosomal RNA", at positions 331 to 794 of the family's 1533-position model. The record is from RNAcentral.
CCAGACUCCUACGGGAGGCAGCAGUGGGGAAUAUUGGGCAAUGGGCGAAAGCCUGACCCAGCAACGCCGCGUGAAGGAAGAAGGCUUUCGGGUUGUAAACUUCUUUUGACAGGGAAGAGCAGAAGACGGUACCUGUCGAAUAAGCCACGGCUAACUACGUGCCAGCAGCCGCGGUAAUACGUAGGUGGCAAGCGUUGUCCGGAAUGAUUGGGCGUAAAGGGUGCGCAGGCGGUCCUGCAAGCCUGGAGUGAAACGCAUGAGCUCAACUCAUGCAUGGCUUUGGAAACUGGAGGACUGGAGAGCAGGAGAGGGCGGUGGAACUCCACGUGUAGCGGUAAAAUGCGUAGAUAUAUGGAAGAACACCGGUGGCGAAGGCGGCCGCCUGGCCUGUUGCUGACGCUGAGGCACGAAAGCGUGGGGAGCAAAUAGGAUUAGAUACCCCAGUAGA